AUUGAACGCUGGCAGCAGGCCUAACACAUGCAAGUCGAGCGGAUGAAGGGAGCUUGCUCCUGGAUUCAGCGGCGGACGGGUGAGUAAUGCCUAGGAAUCUGCCUGGUAGUGGGGGAUAACGUCCGGAAACGGGCGCUAAUACCGCAUACGUCCUGAGGGAGAAAGUGGGGGAUCUUCGGACCUCACGCUAUCAGAUGAGCCUAGGUCGGAUUAGCUAGUUGGUGGGGUAAAGGCCUACCAAGGCGACGAUCCGUAACUGGUCUGAGAGGAUGAUCAGUCACACUGGAACUGAGACAUGGUCCAGACUCCUACGGGAGGCAGCAGUGGGGAAUAUUGGACAAUGGGCGAAAGCCUGAUCCAGCCAUGCCGCGUGUGUGAAGAAGGUCUUCGGAUUGUAAAGCACUUUAAGUUGGGAGGAAGGGCAGUAAGUUAAUACCUUGCUGUUUUGACGUUACCAACAGAAUAAGCACCGGCUAACUUCGUG
Molecule: ribosomal RNA, 484 nt
Filed under: uncultured bacterium
Lineage: Bacteria
Description: partial 16S ribosomal RNA
Rfam family: Bacterial small subunit ribosomal RNA
Source: RNAcentral